UACGAAGGGGGCUAGCGUUGCUCGGAAUCACUGGGCGUAAAGCGCACGUAGGCGGAUUGCUAAGUCAGGGGUGAAAUCCUGGAGCUCAACUCCAGAACUGCCUUUGAUACUGGCGAUCUCGAGUCCGGGAGAGGUGAGUGGAACUCCGAGUGUAGAGGUGAAAUUCGUAGAUAUUCGGAAGAACACCAGUGGCGAAGGCGGCUCACUGGUCCGGUACUGACGCUGAUGUGCGAAAGCGUGGGGAGCAAACAGG
This 253-nucleotide ribosomal RNA is filed under the name uncultured bacterium. RNAcentral describes it as "partial 16S ribosomal RNA". It matches the Rfam family "Bacterial small subunit ribosomal RNA", at positions 524 to 776 of the family's 1533-position model. The record is from RNAcentral.